AACGAACGCUGGCGGCAUGCCUAACACAUGCAAGUCGAACGAGACCUUCGGGUCUAGUGGCGCACGGGUGCGUAACGCGUGGGAACCUGCCCUUAGGUUCGGAAUAACUCCCCGAAAGGGGUGCUAAUACCGGAUAAUGUCUUCGGACCAAAGAUUUAUCGCCUUUGGAUGGGCCCGCGUUGGAUUAGCUUGUUGGUAGGGUAAAAGCCUACCAAGGCGACGAUCCAUAGCUGGUCUGAGAGGAUGAUCAGCCACACUGGGACUGAGACACGGCCCAGACUCCUACGGGAGGCAGCAGUGGGGAAUAUUGGACAAUGGGCGAAAGGCUGAUCCAGCAAUGCCGCGUGAGUGAUGAAGGCCUUAGGGUUGUAAAGCUCUUUUACCCGGGAUGAUAAUGACAGUACCGGGAGAAUAAGCUCCGGCUAACUCCGUG
This 433-nucleotide ribosomal RNA is filed under the name uncultured bacterium. RNAcentral's name for it is "partial 16S ribosomal RNA". It matches the Rfam family "Bacterial small subunit ribosomal RNA", at positions 29 to 507 of the family's 1533-position model. The record is from RNAcentral.